UUCUCUCCAUUCUCUCAUCUCCUCCCAAAUUCCCAACCCUAGCCGCCCCAAACCCUUCACCUCCAUCAACCGGCGGCGCCACCAUAAACAAUCCCAAAUCCGCUCAAAUUUAUCCCCCAUAAUCCCCAACGCCUCCUCAACCCAAAUCCAUCAUCAUUCUGUCCAAACAAACUCACAUGUUCUCCGAAUUUUAGAUCUAGGAAUACAUCUCCUCUUCUUUUUUUUGGCAAAAAUGAAAAUUGUGACACAAAGCAUUAUCCAUUAGAAAUUUUUGGUCAGUGCUUGUGUCAUUAUUUCCAUAGUUAGCCGAAAAUUUAGUUUGGGAUAUGUAUUUAUUCUUCAACAAAGAAAAUCACCAGAUGCGCCCAUGAAAUGACAGAUUUUUCCAACAAUGGCCAAACAUUUGUGUUUGACUCAUCAUUUUAUUUUUUUAUCUUUUAUCUUUUAUUAUUUAUUUUUUGUUUUUAGUAUUAUAAUUGUUAUUAUUAUUUUCUAUUUUAUUUAUUUAUUACUUCUUCUGUUUUUCUUGCCUAUAAUCGAGCCCAUGAUAAAGAGCCCCCAAAAUGGUGAAUGAGCCGUAUAGCCCAGUUCUUUGUCUGGGGGAGGGGGGUUAAUUUUGAAAUGUAAAUAGCAGUAUUUUUAGGGGUACUUAAGGUAUUUAGACUCAAGGAAUCUUUCCAUAACUACUUAGGAAAGAUCUAGGAAAGUGAAGUUUGGGAUGAAUAAGUAAAUAGUACAAAAAUUCAGGUAAAAAACUAUGCAAAAAUAGAUUUCUUAAGGGGUGGUUUUGAAUUUAGAAAUUCUGAUUUGUUGCCUUAGAAAGAGUGUUAUAAAUACACACUAUAGGUUAGGAGCAAAGGACACACGGCAGAAAACAUCACAAAAGCUCACUCAAAUUGUUUUUCCAAAAUUUGAAGCUUCUUCUUUAGCUUUCAAUUUUUUUUUUUGGGGGGGGGGGGGAUUUAUAAGAUGAACAGAUUCUUGAAGCUGUGGUUUUGGGUUUCUUCUGUUGAAUUUCCACUUAAUUUUAGGCUUUCAUUUGGUUUAUUUAGCUGAUUUGGUCACAUUUAGGUAUGUUCUUCAUCUUGUAGUCACCAUGUUUUAAAUCAAUAAAUGCAAAUAUGAUAUUUUAUCCUAUGUUAAUUAGUUUGUUUGUUUUGUUUAUAUCCAUGAUUUCCUAUUUGGGUAAUAUUUGUUUAGGGACAUGUGCUGAAUAUUUGCUUCAUUUAGUUUAGUAUAUGAAAAGCUUGAAAAAUCAGCUUUGAUGCAGUAAACACAUUAGUUUUUCCUAAAUUUGUUUCUGUUGGUUAAAUUUCGUUGCAUUUUUGUUCUGUGUUUCAUAUUAUCUUCUUUGCCUAAGGAAUGAGUACUACCAUAAGACUAUCUUAUUGAAAAUUCAUAUAUUUAUUUAAGGGCUGAAAGUGGCUUAUCUUUGGGCUUUCCCCAUUCUAGUCGUCUCAUCUUAUUAUAUGAAUAUAAUAUUAUAAUUUUGCAAUAUUUUUACGCAACAAAUUAGUUUAUAAACAAAUUUGAUGUCAAUAGUUGAAAAGCAAAAAGAAAAGAACCUAUACAUCUUUACAGCUGUUUGUCAUUUCUUUUUUCAUGUAGUAUAUUUAUAUUACUAAUAUUCACGACUAGUUUACUGUUUCACUGUUUAUAGUUGACGGAUAUUUAGUCUAAUUGCUUAUUUUUAGUUUCAAUUAAUUAGCAUGGCUUGAAUUCCUUGGUUAAUUCUUUCGGCAUUAAGACAUAAGUUUUGCUUCACUAUUGACGUAUUUGGAAUGGUUGUUAGUAUUAAGUAUAUGAGCUCAAAAGUUAAUCAAUAAUUGAAUUACUUUCUAAUUGAGCCAUACACUGUGACGAUCCGUCCAGUCGUCUCAUGAGUUACCACUCCUUUUUUCCAUUUCUGCUUCUUAUUGCUUUGUCUAUCGGUUCUAUAUGUGAUCGGGUUGGUUGGCUCGGGUUCGGAAAGGAUUUGGUAAGGUUUGAGAUACUUAGUCUCUUUUGAGGAAGUUUAAGUUGGAAAAGUCAACUGGAUAUUGACUUAUGUGUUAUAGGGCUCGGAUGUGAGUUUUGAUGGUUCGGAUAGCUUCGGGAGGUGAAUUAGGACUUAGGGGCAUGAUCGGAAUAUGUUUUGGAGAUCCAGAGUAGAUUUAGGCUUGAAUUGGCGAAAUUGGAUUUUUGGCGUUUUCCGGUUGAUAGGUGAGGUUUUUGAUAUAGAGGUUGGAAUGGAAUUACGAUAGUUGCAGUAGUUCCGUUGUGUCAUUUGGGAUGUGUGUGCAAUAUUUCAGGUCAUUCGGACGCGGUUUGUUUGGGUUUUUUAUCAGAAGCUUUCGAAAGGAAACUCUAUUCUUUAAUAGUCCAGCUAUAAAUUCUGCAAGAAUAUUAGGGUUUCCAUAAGGUUUUGCAAUUCUUGUGACAGCAAUGUUCAGUUUUCGGUUUACACAAUUAAAUUCUUUUUGUAAGGUCAUUUUUAAUUCUUCGAUUCCACGCGGUCGACUUUUUAUUAAUAAUUUUAAUCCAAAAUUCAAAUUUUUGAAAAACGAAACCAUUAACUAUUGACUUAGAAUGCAUGAAUGAUUCUUGGAUUUGAAUCUCCAAAUUUUGUUUUCCUAAUGACAUAAGAAAAUACAACUUGAUAUAUAACUAAUCAGUAUGGAUUUUUUCAAUCAAAAAAUCAUCCUGGCGUCGAGCUAUUUUUUCGCAGGACCAUUCAUAGCUAUUACCUUCACACCAAAGAAGAGUUCGACCCAAUGCUUUAUUUCUGUCCUAGUUGAUUCUGAUUCGACAUUAGAAGUAUAUUGAUUUUUUCCCAAUAACCGAAUACUUUUGUCUUUAAAUACUGCAUAUUUGAUUCCAUCUAUAAAUCGAUUUUCUUCCUUAUGAGUUAAAGUCUCAAUAAGAAUGCUAGUUCUUACUGUUCAUUAUGAUAUGAAUAUACCACAUCAAUUCGUUAUGUAUGGAUGAUGAGAUUCCAUUGAUACAAAGCCAAUUCCAAUAGACUUAUUGGAGGGUCCCAUUGGCGUGCAUCCAGUAGGAAUUUAGGAUACAUUCUGGGAAAAUCAAACUUCCAUCGAAGAGAAGCAAAUGAAAGGCUUUCAUAAAAAUUAAUUUAGAAGAUUUUGGAAUUCUUAGGCUUGAAUUCGAUGCAAAUAGGGUGUUUUGAUAUUGUUUUGAGUGUUCCGGAGGUUGUAACAAGUUUGAAUGAGGUUAUGAGAUAUGUUGGCAUAUUUGUUUGAGGUCCCUGGGGCCUCAAGUGAGUUUCGAGUGGUCAAUCGGACCAUUUCAUGUUGUUGAGAAUUGUAGCAAAACUGUUGAGUGUUGCAGAGAAAUUAGACCUUCGCGUUCGCGAAGGGUUAGCUGGUGAAGGUUAGAUUUUAGCCUUCGCAUUCGCGAAGGGCUGGGGUGAGGUGCAUCGCGUUUGCGAGGUGGAGUCGCGUUCGCAUAUAGAAAAUUGAGCAGCUGGGGUGGAAGUUGUUUUGUUCAUUGCGUUCGCGAGAGAGGGAGUGCAUUCGCGAAGGGUUAAGCGGAUGAGCCAUCACAUUCGCGAAGAGGAAUUUUUAGUCAAAGUUAUUUUGUGCUUCGCGAACGCAAGGCAUGGACCGCGUUCGUGAAUAAGGAAUUGAGGCCUGGGCAGAAUGUUUAAAUAGUCAUCUUGUCCGCGAUUUUGGGGUUUAUUUCCACCAUUUUUGAGCGAUUUUGGAGCUUUUUGAAGAGGAUUGAAGAUGGAUUCAAGGGGAAACACUUGGAGGUAAGAUUCAUGGACUUAAUACUCGAUUCUAAUGUGAAUUCUACCUAAUUAAUCAUGGAAAUUAAGCAUAAAAAUUGAAGAACUAGGGCUUGAAAUUGGAGACCUAGAAUUUGGAAUUUGAGGGAUUGUUUGUGGUUGGAUUUUGAUGCUUUUUGUAUGAAUGAACUCGGGGAGUGAUGUGUCGGAGAAUUUCGGCACAUUUAAUACAAAUUGCUAAGAUUUUAUAUUGUUUUAAAUGCAAUAAUCUUUUAUACUUAUGUAAAUUUAGUGUUUUUGCAGUGUAUGAGGUUUAACGACCUAAGAGAAUGGAAAUGAAAUAAAAAAGGCACAAAAAGGACAAGAAAAGAGCAAAAUGCGAUCGCAGAUGUGGAAAUGCGGACUUCAAAUCCAACAUGCGUACCGCAUAAUGCUCAAAGGAAUCGCAAACCCUAAUAGUUUGUUGGCCAAAGUCCAGUGUAAGAAAUGCAGUCCAGUAUGCGAUCACAUAAUAGGUUUGCGGGCCGCAUAAUGGACUGCAAACUCAUUGUGAAAGAUGCUGAAGGUGGAAAAUGCGAUGGGAAAUGCGAUCGCAUAUCUACAAUGCGGACCGCAGAAUGUGAAUGCGAUGAAGGCCUGGAAACUAGGGUUUGAAGAUGCGAUGGCCAUGACGAGAAUGCGGAUCGCAUGUCUGUUAUGCGACAGAUGUGCGGUCGCAUAAUUGAACUGGAAGGGUAUUUUUGUCCGAUUUUGGUCCCGAGUUUUGACCCACUAUAAAUAGAUUUAUUGGUAUUUUGUGGGGGCAUCUUGUUUGGUUUUUGUGCUACAAUCCAUGUCUUUAAUAUUCCUCUCUUUUGGAAGCAUUUGAAGGAAUAAUCUUUCACUUUGUAAGCUUUAUGGCAUUAAAUAUUCUCAUCCUUUUGUAUUUUAGCAUGUGUAGCUAACUUUACAUACUAAGGUUGUGGACCCUAAAUGGGUGUUAUGUUAAUGAGUGUUUAACAUUGAAUAUAUGUAUAAUGGUUGGUUGAUAUAUAUUUAUUUCUCAUUUUUCAUUUAUUGUUGGUGGUUGCAAACAUUAACAAGUGCCAUCAAAUUCUUUCUUUACUUGGAAAAGUGAGUUAGAAUUUGGUAGAAGUAAAUAUCAAAGACUCAAGGCUUUAAACCUUCAAGACUUUAAACCUUGUUUAAUAGAAUCACUUAGGAAUACGUGGAUUUUAUUUGGCAUAUAUUGAUUGUUCUUAAUAGCAACUCUUUUUUAUUUGGAAAAAUCAUAAAGAGGAAAUACUACCCAACUAUUGAAAAAUAUUGGGUAUUCAUUUAGAAAUCAAUUGCAUAUCUAAAGAACCUUCCAUUAGAAAUAUAUUACAUUAACACCGAUAGCAUUACAUUUCAUUGAAGGGGACACAACCUUGGUUUCCUUAAUCAAACUAUUUACAUUCUCAACAUUACAAUUAGUUAUUUCUUCAAAUCACAAUUAUAUCAUACUCUUGUUACAAUUAAUCGAAUAGAAUUAUGACAUAAGUCAAGUAACACACUACUCGAGUAACCUUUUCACGCCUAUUCCUUGUGGGAUUCGACCCCAACCUUGUUGGGUUAUUAUAUUUGACACCGACCGCCUUACACUAUGUAAUUAAAGUGUAAUUUGAGCAUAUUAGGGAUUGAUAAGGAAUCCAUUGAUGUGAAUUUUAUCGAAUUUCGAGACGUGGUCCAGGGGAUCAGGUUUUGGUAUUUUCGGGAUUUAUGCUAUAAAUUGAUUAUUUUUGCUUGGGCUUCGUUCUCUUAGCAUAUUUUGACGUCGUGGUUCAAAUUUUGGAUAGAUUCGACGUGAGUGGAGGUAGAUUUGAGGGGCAAAGGUGUCGCGGGCUAGAGUUUGGAUUAGAUUGAGGUGACUAAUGAUUGUAAAUGAUGUCAUGGGGGUAUGAAACCCCGGAUUGCACAUCGUGAUGCUAUAUUGAGGUGCCGCACACGCUAGAUGACAAGCGUGGGGUCGGGCACCUUUGGGGAUUGUGACUUAGUCCAUCCCGAAUGACUAUUUUAUCAUGUAUUUGAAUGAAAACUCAUUGCUAUCAUCAUAUUUUGGGCUGAAUGCCAUAUUUGGGCUGAAUGCCAACUAUUUGGACCCUUAGGGAAUUUUUUACUGAUAUUUCCUCACUAUUUUGACUUUAUAAUUGAACUCAGUCAUGCUAUAUUCUACUGUUUUCAUAACUCAGCCAUGUUUACAAUACUUUAAUACUUAAAAUGAUAUUUUGGGUUGAGCAUCAUGUUUUACUUUUGCCCGAGUGGCUUAUGAGAUUCUGACUGAGUAAGGACGAGGGCCUACGUUGUGAGGAUACACUAAUUAUGAUUAUGAGGCCGAGGGCCAGAGUUGUACGCCACGAGGUGGCUUGAUAUGAGGUCAAGAGCCUAGUGAUGAUACCACGAGAUGGCUUGAUAUUGUGCUUGGGUCGUAAGGGGCCCCUCCAGGAGUCUUCAUACCCCGAGUGAGUGCGGGUACCCAUUGUGAUGUGAGAUAUAGACCGAGGGGCUGGUUUUGUUUCUGAGAUAUUGCCCAAGGGGCGGAUUGUUGACAUUGUGCCCGAGGGGCGAUCCUUUAUGUGUUAUCUUUCCUGUUUGCAUGUCAUUUACUUGCUUAAUUGUUAAAAAGGCAUUUUAUGAUGUUUAAACUGAAUUCAGUGACUUUACACAUCUUUACUGCCUCACUGUUUUUACUAGAUUUUACUGCUUCCUUAUAGCCUGUUAUGUGCCUUACGUAAUUUCGUACUUCUCAGUCUUUAUUUAUGAUUAUUACUCACUGAGCUGGAAUACUCACUUUACUCCAUGUACCCCGUGUGCAGAUUCAGGCAUUGCUUAUCCUACUAGUGGGUUGAGAGCUCCGGGCAGAUUUCGGAGUUCAUGAGGUAGCUGUUUGGCGUCCGCAGUCUCGUGUUUCUCCUCGUUUAUCUCAUUUCUUUCUCUUUCAGUUAUUCUGUGAUAGUUUAUAGACAUUUAAGACUUGUAGUAUAUUGAUAGAGGCACAUGACUAGUGACACCCCGGUAUCGGGCUGUGUUGGGUUUUAUUUCCGCAAACCGUAAUGUUCACUAUUUAUCAUUUUGGGAUUUAUUAUUAUGAUGUUUAAG
This 6844-nucleotide long non-coding RNA is filed under the name Nicotiana tabacum (common tobacco). RNAcentral's name for it is "long non-coding RNA (NTAB_LNC016035)". The record is from RNAcentral. Lineage: Eukaryota; Viridiplantae; Streptophyta; Magnoliopsida; Solanales; Solanaceae.